RNAcentral lists this ribosomal RNA (467 nucleotides) under uncultured bacterium. Its description in RNAcentral is "partial 16S ribosomal RNA". It matches the Rfam family "Bacterial small subunit ribosomal RNA", at positions 28 to 507 of the family's 1533-position model. The record is from RNAcentral.
GACGAACGCUGGCGGCGUGCUUAACACAUGCAAGUCGAACGGAAAGGCCUCUUUCGGGGGGUACUCGAGUGGCGAACGGGUGAGUAACACGUGAGUAACCUGCCCUUGACUUUGGGAUAACUUCAGGAAACUGGGGCUAAUACCGGAUAGGAGCUCCUGCUGCAUGGUGGGGGUUGGAAAGUUUCGGCGGUUGGGGAUGGACUCGCGGCUUAUCAGCUUGUUGGUGGGGUAGUGGCUUACCAAGGCUUUGACGGGUAGCCGGCCUGAGAGGGUGACCGGCCACAUUGGGACUGAGAUACGGCCCAGACUCCUACGGGAGGCAGCAGUGGGGAAUGUUGCACAAUGGGUGGAAGCCUGAUGCAGCAACGCCGUGUGCGGGAUGACGGCCUUCGGGUUGUAAACCGCUUUCGCUCAUGACGAAGCUUUGUGUGACGGUAGUGGGUAAAGAAGCACCGGCUAACUACGUG